CAACCCUGUAAAAUGGAUUCGGACAGACGUUAGAGAAGUGAAAAGAAAUGUUUAUAAGAAAGAAAUGACCUUUCCAGGAAAAGGAUGGAGAGGGUUUUUCAUUGAGGUUGUCUUUCCAAAAAAUAAUUUGGGUCCUUUCAUGGAAACAACGGAGAUGCUAAUCAUGCCAGACACUUAUCCAUGUUCUGACUGCCAUGGAGAUGGAUGCCAUGGAAAAAUAGUCUGAC
Long non-coding RNA from Sphaerodactylus townsendi, 227 nucleotides. RefSeq lists it as uncharacterized. The record is from RefSeq and is a predicted model, not a curated record. The transcript has 3 exons. NCBI's taxonomy places the organism in Eukaryota, Metazoa, Chordata, Lepidosauria, Squamata, Sphaerodactylidae.